Molecule: ribosomal RNA, 278 nt
Filed under: Glomeromycota sp.
Lineage: Eukaryota; Fungi; Glomeromycota
Description: partial small subunit ribosomal RNA
Rfam family: Eukaryotic small subunit ribosomal RNA
Source: RNAcentral
AGCAGCCGCGGUAAUUCCAGCUCCAAUAGCGUAUAUUAAAGUUGUUGCAGUUAAAAAGCUCGUAGUUGAAUUUCGAGAUCAAAUUGUUGGUCGUGCCUCGGUACGUACUGGCAUUAUUGAUUUCUCCCUUCUGACGAUCCGCGAUGUCAUUAAUUUGGUGUCGUGGGGAAUCAGGACUGUUACUUUGAAAAAAUUAGAGUGUUUAAAGCAGGCUCACGCUUGAAUACAUUAGCAUGGAAUAAUGAAAUAGGACGUUUGAUUCUAUUUUGUUGGUUUCU